Molecule: long non-coding RNA, 230 nt
Organism: Chenopodium quinoa (quinoa)
Lineage: Eukaryota; Viridiplantae; Streptophyta; Magnoliopsida; Caryophyllales; Amaranthaceae
Exons: 3
Source: RefSeq, a predicted model, not a curated record
AAUUCAAUUUCCUUUAAUCCUAUUCCUUUAUUUUCUUCAUGGUGUAUUCGUGAUUGAACUUUGAAAGUGCGAAGUGGUGAUUGAUAUUCGGAAUUAAGGUGAAUGUUUCAGGUGGAAGUUGAUUGAUGCAUACGGGAGUCCACGAGAAUUUCACCUAGCUUAGGAAAAGUUGGAGUCGUUUUUGUGUCACAAAUUAUGAACAAGUUUUAUUUAAAGUUUUAUUAUUAAGA